AGAGUUUGAUCCUGGCUCAGAACGAACGUUGGCGGCGUGGAUUAGGCAUGCAAGUCGGGGGAAUCCCAGCAAUGGGGGAACCGGCGUAAGGGGCAGUAAGGCAUGGGUACCUACCCUAGGGUUCGGGAUAGCCAUCAGAGAUGGUGGGUAAUACCGGAUGAUGUCGAGAGACCAAAGAUUUAUCGCCCUGGGAGGGGCCCAUGUGAUAUUAGCUAGUUGGUGAGGUAACGGCUCACCAAGGCGAAGAUGUCUAGCGGGUGUGAGAGCACGACCCGCGCCACUCGCACUGAGACACUGGCGAGACACCUACGGGUGGCUGCAGUCGAGGAUCUUCGGCAAUGAGCGCAAGCUUGACCGAGCGACGCCGCGUGAGCGAUGAAGGCCUUCGGGUUGUAAAGCUCUUUAGUGGGGGAGAAAAGCCCGCAAGGGUGUGAUCUAUCCCAAAAAUAAGCACGGGCUAAGUUCGUGCCAGCAGCCGCGGUAAGACGAACCGUGCGAACGUUGUUCGGAAUCACUGGGCUUAAAGGGCGCGUAGGCGGGCUGUCAAGUCUGGGGUGAAAUGCCGCGGCUCAACCGUGGAACUGCCUUAGAUACUGACGGCCUCGAGGAAGGUAGGGGCAUGCGGAACUGUAGGUGGAGCGGUGAAAUGCGUUGAUAUCUACAGGAACUCCGGUGGCGAAAGCGGCGUGCUGGACCUUUUCUGACGCUGAGGCGCGAAAGCUAGGGGAGCAAACGGGAUUAGAUACCCCCGUAGUCC
RNAcentral lists this ribosomal RNA (757 nucleotides) under uncultured Gemmata sp. RNAcentral describes it as "bacterial SSU rRNA". It matches the Rfam family "Bacterial small subunit ribosomal RNA", at positions 8 to 796 of the family's 1533-position model. The record is from RNAcentral. Lineage: Bacteria; Pseudomonadati; Planctomycetota; Planctomycetia; Gemmatales; Gemmataceae.